This 200-nucleotide ribosomal RNA is filed under the name uncultured bacterium. RNAcentral's name for it is "partial 16S ribosomal RNA". It matches the Rfam family "Bacterial small subunit ribosomal RNA", at positions 8 to 236 of the family's 1533-position model. The record is from RNAcentral.
AGAGUUUGAUCCUGGCUCAGAACGAACGCUGGCGGCAGGCCUAACACAUGCAAGUCGAACGCUCGUAGCAAUACGGGAGUGGCAGACGGGUGAGUAACGCGUGGGAACCUUCCCAGUGGUACGGAAUAGCUCAGGGAAACUUGAGGUAAUACCGUAUAAGCUUAGGGGGAAAGAUUUAUCGCCAUUGGAUGGGCCCGCGU